RNAcentral lists this long non-coding RNA (1590 nucleotides) under Homo sapiens (human). RNAcentral describes it as "PREDICTED lncRNA (TCONS_00189013)". The stretch from base 668 to 943 matches the Rfam family "SOX2 overlapping transcript exon 3". Lineage: Eukaryota; Metazoa; Chordata; Mammalia; Primates; Hominidae. The record is from RNAcentral.
UUUCUCCAUCCUAGUAAUCAAAUUUGAGCAAAAUCAAAUGGGGCUUUCUAUGAAAGUACCUUUUGUUGAUCUGAACGAGCUGGUAAUUUACAAAAUACCCUUCCUUUGUGAGGAAGGCUAAAGAAAAAAAGAAUCAGUAGCUUUUAAAGCUGGGCCUUAGUGGGACUCUAAAUGCAAUGAAAGCAGUCUGUGUUGAGAGACUGAAAUGCAUUUCAAAGCCAGGCCUGAUUCGGGGUACAAGGAAGAACAGACCUAUGUGCAUUUUGUAGGAAGAAAACUGUGAAUGGAAAAAGGAGAAGGGGAGAGAAACGGGGGAAAUCUGGAUAAUACAUUAAAGUAACCAUAAUUUUGGAGAUGCAUUCAUCUUAUUGAAAAUAUAUUUCCUCAUGGUUGUGAUUCCUCUUCACUCUUUUGAAUUUGGAAGGAUGGCAUACACAUCUGAAAAAUACCACUACUUCCUUCAUUGGACUGCAAGGUAUUUCUGUUUGGAAAAGUAAUGGAGUCCAGUCAACUUCAUUGAUCGCCAAGGACUGUCAAAAUUAUAAAACUUGCUGUGGAGCUCUGACAUGCCAGAAGCCGCUAGAAAAAGAAGUUUGACAUUCAGAAACUUAUCAAGAGGUUCUACUCUUUGGAUAGAGACCAAAAUCAUACUUUGAAGGGAUUGCAGUGGCAAAGCUAGGCUAGGUCUUGGAGGCUGGUGUAAGGCGAUGUGGGUGAAGGCAGGAGGCUGAUGGAAAGACUGGGGGGAAGAAAAGCCGAAAUGGAUUCACGGUGCCUUGGAUGAAGGACGAGAGGGGAACUGCAAGCUCCUUCAACUGGUUCUGUCCGGUGAGAAGUGAUCAAGCUUGGGCUGACAAGAGGCUCAGGGAGCCCUCACGUUCUUUCGCUUUUUUACCUGCCAAUCAAACUGCUACAAGACAACACCCUGAUCUGGCAUGGACAUUUAUUCUUCUUAGGAUGGCUGCCAGGGAAUAGAUGAAAGGCAGAAGUGGCGAUGGGUGACUGAUGUGGCACACUUAUGAAGAAAAGCCUCUUUUUCCAUGCUUGUUUUUCCUCCCCAAGGAGCCAACAGAGUUUCUAUUCUCCAACUCUGCUCUUCACCUUACCCAAGUCAUUGCAGUCACCUGGAGUCACGGAAAUGACCAUGAUUGCCUGAACUUUCAUGACUUCUGUGGAUAACUGUGGUUGCAGAAAAGAGAAAACCUGGACCGUGAGGGACAUUUCACUCCCUGGGCUUUGGUACAUGGUACAUGUGUGGUUGGAUGUGUGUUGCCAGAAAACAGCCUGCCAUGUCUGAGGCUAUGCUCCCAGACUAGCAGCCUGGGUUACAGGGGAAGAGCUGAAGUUGGGUUGGGGAAGUUUAAUAUACUAUACUUUUAAAAUUUUUUUACUUUUGGCUAAUAUUUAUCUAUUUAUUUAUUUUUAUUUUUUGUAGAGACAGGGUUUUGCCAUGUUGCCCUGGCUGGUCUCAAACUACUGAGCUUGAGAAUCUGCUUGUCUUGGCCUCCCAAAGAGCUAGGAUUACAGGCAUGAGCCAUCGAGCCUGGCUCCUUUUAUUCUUUUCAUGACACUACCUCUUCCUAGGAGAGG